AUUCAACGGCCGCGGUAUCCUAACCGUGCGAAGGUAGCGUAAUCACUUGUUCUUUAAAUGAGGACUAGUAUGAAUGGCAUCACGAGGGUUAUACUGUCUCCCUUUUUUAAUCAGUGAAACUAAUCUUCCCGUGAAGAAGCGGGAAUAGAAUUAUAAGACGAGAAGACCCUAUGGAGCUUUAAACUAAGCAACAAUUGUUCUAAACUACUCCCUCUUCAGUUAAAAUUAUAUCUUAACAUUAUGAUUGCUAGUUUUUGGUUGGGGUGACCGCGGAGCAUAAAACAACCUCCACAAUGAAAGAAACUUAAUUUCUUAACCCAGAGCUACAACUCUAAGUAUCAAAAAUUUGACAUACAUUGAUCCAAUAUAUUGAUCAACGAACCAAGUUACCCUAGGGAUAACAGCGCAAUCCACUUCAAGAGCCCAUAUCGACAAGUGGGUUUACGACCUCGAUGUUGGAUCAGGGUAUCCCAGUGGUGCAGCCGCUACUAAAGGUUCGUUUGUUCAACGAUUAAAACCC
This 520-nucleotide ribosomal RNA is filed under the name Physalaemus olfersii (Atlantic forest dwarf frog). RNAcentral's name for it is "partial 16S ribosomal RNA". It matches the Rfam family "Bacterial large subunit ribosomal RNA", at positions 1922 to 2596 of the family's 2925-position model. The record is from RNAcentral. Lineage: Eukaryota; Metazoa; Chordata; Amphibia; Anura; Leptodactylidae.